This 1490-nucleotide ribosomal RNA is filed under the name uncultured Bordetella sp. RNAcentral's name for it is "partial 16S-23S ribosomal RNA intergenic spacer". It matches the Rfam family "Bacterial small subunit ribosomal RNA". The record is from RNAcentral. Lineage: Bacteria; Pseudomonadati; Pseudomonadota; Betaproteobacteria; Burkholderiales; Alcaligenaceae.
UAACAGAGGGUUCGAUCCUGGCUCAGAACGCUGGCGGGAUGCUUUUACACAUGCAAGUCGAACGGCAGCACGGACUUCGGUCUGGUGGCGAGUGGCGAACGGGUGAGUAAUGUAUCGGAACGUGCCUAGUAGCGGGGGAUAACUACGCGAAAGCGUAGCUAAUACCGCAUACGCCCUUCGGGGGAAAGCGGGGACCUUCGGGCCUCGCACUAUUAGAGCGGCCGAUAUCGGAUUAGCUAGUUGGUGGGGUAACGGCUCACCAAGGCAGACGAUCCGUAGCUGGUUUGAGAGGACGACCAGCCACACUGGGAUCGGAGACACGGCCCAGACUCCUACGGGAGGCAGCAGUGGGGAAUUUUGAAUGGGGAAACCCCGAUCCAGCCAUCCCGCGUGUGCGAUGAAGGCCUUCGGGUUGUAAAGCACUUUUGGCAGGAAAGAAACGGCACGGGAUAAUACUCCCGUGCAACUGACGGUACCUGCAGAAUAAGCACCGGCUAACUACGUGCCAGCAGCCGCGGUAAUACGUAGGUGCAAGCGUUAAUCGGAAUUACUGGGCGCAAAGCGUGCGCAGCAGGCGGUUCGGAAAGGAAAGAUGCGGAAAUCCCAGAGCUUAACUUUGGAACUACUUAAUCACCGAGCUAGAGUGUGUCAGAGGGAGGUGGAAUUCCGCGUGUGGCAGUGAAUGCGUAGAUAUGCGGAGGAACACCGAUGGCGAAGGCAGCCUCCCGGGAUAACACUGACGCCUGCGCACGAAAGCGUGGGGAGCAAACAGGAUUAGAUACCCCGGUGUCCACGCCCUAAGCGAUGUCAACUAGCUGUUGGGGCCUUCGGGCCUUGCAGCGCAGCUAACGCGUGAAGUUGACCGCCUGGGGAGUACGGUCGCAAGAUUAAAACUCAAAGGAAUUGACGGGGACCCGCACAAGCGGUGGAUGAUGUGGAUUAAUUGAUGCAACGCGAAAACCUUACCUACCCUUGACAUGUCUGGAAUCCUGAAGAGAUUUGGGAGUGCUCGCAAGAGAACCGGAACACAGGUGCUGCAUGGCUGUCGUCAGCUCGUGUCGUGAGAUGUUGGGUUAAGUCCCGCAACGAGCGCAACCCUUGUCAUUAGUUGCUACGAAAGGGCACUCUAAUGAGACUGCCGGUGACAAACCGAGGGAAGGUGGGGAUGACGCUUGCGUCCUCAUGGCUCCUUAUGGGUAGGGCUUCACACGUCACACAAUGGUCGGGACAGAGGGUCGCCAACCUGCGAGGGGGAGCCAAUCCCAGAAACCCGAUCGUAGUCCGGAUCGCAGUCUGCAACUCGACUGCGUGAAGCCGGAAUCGCUGGUAAUCGCGGAUCAGCAUGUCGCGGUGAAUACGCCGUUCCCGGUCGCAGGUACACCGCCCGUCACACCAUGGGAGUGGGUUUUACCAGAAGUAGUUAGCCUAACCGUAAGGAGGGCGAUUACCACGGUAGGAUUCAUGACUGGGGUGAAGUCGUAACAAGGUAA